AGUCCCAUGGGGUAGCGGCCAAUCCUGAAGCCUUCUGGGGGCUUCGACCGCAGUUCGAAUCUGCGUGGGACUA
RNAcentral lists this transfer RNA (73 nucleotides) under Halorubellus sp. JP-L1. RNAcentral's name for it is "tRNA-Gln". Lineage: Archaea; Methanobacteriati; Methanobacteriota; Halobacteria; Halobacteriales; Halorubellaceae. The record is from RNAcentral.